AUUGAACGCUGGCGGCAUGCCUUACACAUGCAAGUCGAACGGCAGCACGGGUGCUUGCACCUGGUGGCGAGUGGCGAACGGGUGAGUAAUACAUCGGAACAUGUCCUGUAGUGGGGGAUAGCCCGGCGAAAGCCGGAUUAAUACCGCAUACGAUCUACGGAUGAAAGCGGGGGACCUUCGGGCCUCGCGCUAUAGGGUUGGCCGAUGGCUGAUUAGCUAGUUGGUGGGGUAAAGGCCUACCAAGGCGACGAUCAGUAGCUGGUCUGAGAGGACGACCAGCCACACUGGGACUGGGCCACGGCCCAGACUCCUGCGGGAGGCAGCAGUGGGGAAUUUUGGACAAUGGGCGAAGGCCUGAUCCAGCAAUGCCGCGUGUGUGAAGAAGGCCUUCGGGUUGUAAAGCACUUUUGUCCGGAAAGAAAGCCUUGGCCCUAAUACGGUCGGGGGAUGACGGUACCGGAAGAAUAAGCACCGGCUAACUACGUG
This 486-nucleotide ribosomal RNA is filed under the name uncultured bacterium. RNAcentral describes it as "partial 16S ribosomal RNA". It matches the Rfam family "Bacterial small subunit ribosomal RNA", at positions 29 to 507 of the family's 1533-position model. The record is from RNAcentral.